Molecule: transfer RNA, 83 nt
Filed under: Candidatus Woesearchaeota archaeon
Lineage: Archaea; Nanobdellati; Candidatus Woesearchaeota
Description: tRNA-Ser
Rfam family: tRNA
About the family: Transfer RNA (tRNA) molecules are approximately 80 nucleotides in length.
Source: RNAcentral
GCCGCGAUCGCAUAACCUGGUAUUGCACCGGUCUCGAAAACCGGGCCUGCGAAGGCUUCGAGGUUCAAAUCCUCGUCGCGGCG